Molecule: ribosomal RNA, 421 nt
Filed under: uncultured bacterium
Lineage: Bacteria
Description: bacterial SSU rRNA
Rfam family: Bacterial small subunit ribosomal RNA
Source: RNAcentral
GAGCGGGCGUAGCAAUACGUCAGCGGCAGACGGGUGAGUAACGCGUGGGAACGUACCUUUUGGUUCGGAACAACCCAGGGAAACUUGGGCUAAUACCGGAUAAGCCCUUACGGGGAAAGAUUUAUCGCCGAAAGAUCGGCCCGCGUCUGAUUAGCUAGUUGGUGAGGUAAUGGCUCACCAAGGCGACGAUCAGUAGCUGGUCUGAGAGGGCGACCGGCCACACUGGGGCUGAGACACGGCCCAGACUCCUACGGGAGGCAGCAGUGGGGAAUAUUGCACAAUGGGGGAAACCCUGAUGCAGCGACGCCGCGUGCGGGAUGAAGGCCUUCGGGUUGUAAACCGCUUUCACCAGGGACGAAGCGAGAGUGACGGUAUAUGGGGAAGAAGCGCCGGCUAUCUAGGUGCCCGCAGCAGCGGUAAG